Molecule: long non-coding RNA, 288 nt
Filed under: Lathyrus oleraceus (garden pea)
Lineage: Eukaryota; Viridiplantae; Streptophyta; Magnoliopsida; Fabales; Fabaceae
Description: Pisum sativum (pea) long non-coding RNA (PSAT_LNC037795)
Source: RNAcentral
UUUGUGUGUUUUUUUCUUGCAGAAAAUGUGUAUAUGGAUAUGUAAAUAACAAGUUGUAUAUAUAUGCAGAAAAGGUGUUUUUUUUCUGAGUUUUUUUACUGAAAAAUGUUGUUGUGAAUAAAAAAAUUUAACCUAAUGAUUCAUAUCAAUAAUCUUUGCAUUAGAAGAAAAACGAUGAGAUUGAGAAAGAAAGAAUACACACCAACACAACUUGAAUCAAACACACACCAACACUUCCUAGAAUAGUGUUUUUUUUUUCUGAAAUUUGGCUUCUUUUUUUACUAAAAU